AUAUCAAUAACAGAGUACAGACAGGAGUGACUUUAUCUAAUUGUAAACACGUGUCAAUUUUUUGAGUGGUGAGUGAUGUGAACUGUGUGUUAACGAAUUGUGUGAGAUAUCUGAAGAUGAGUGAUGUGAACUGUCUGAAUAUAAGUUGUGUGAACUGUCUGUGGAUGAGGGUUUAGAACUAUCUGUAUAUGAGUGGUAUAAACUAUCUUUAGCUGAGUGGUGUGUACUGUAUGAAGACAAACGGUGUAAAUAGUCGGCAUAUUAGUGUCGUGCACUGUCUGCAUAUGAGUGAUGUGAACUGUUUGCAUGCGGUGUCGAAAUGGGUCUAUAGCUCUGCCUGAACUGUCGUCCAAUUGGUUUACAAGUCCGGCUGAAGUGACAGGCCAUCAAAAACUGUAUAGCAUGACAGAUUCGGAGACGGCCCUCAACACUCGCCCAGUCGUGUCGAGAGGAUCGGUGUCUUUGCAGAUUACACGGAAUUGAGCACCCGGGCCAGACUGACACUUUCCGGAGCCUGUCCGAGACGGAACUCGAGCCGAUGAAUCAUAGGUCCAGGUGUGACAAAAUGCUUUAAGCUCAUGUCUGACGAUGACUUUUUUUAGUCAGGAAGUGUGUUGUUUUUCCAUGCAAGCAAGCCCUUUUGUUGGGUCAACUGACAUGAGAAAUGCUGCUUCUACAUGGAUUUUACCUAAAAUGUGCCAAAAAAAAAGUUUGUUGGAAUCCGGUUCAAAACCUGCUUUGAUUACAAAUAUUGGCAUUGAUGAUUUUUUUCACUUAUUAAGUCAUAUGUUAUAUCAGCUUUGCCUAUUAGAAUCGAAAGUGAUGCCUUGUAUGGAGUCUAAGUGCUGCAUGAAUGAUGUAACCAAGUUUGGCUUUUCUACCUUAAUUCUUGACGCGUAACGCUGUUACGCAUGGCGCUUUCAAUGGCAACUUUUAUAAAUAAACCUGUGAGUCAUUGUUCCGGAGUUUUGUGAUCUUUCUCAAAACAGAUUAUACCUGUGGGAAAAGUGCCUUUAAUUCAAAUUUGAAGGGGUUGGGUUCUCUUAAAGGUCACAUAAACCCAAACCGGAACUCCUGUUUGCAGGGUUACAUGCAGUCAGUUUGAUACUUAGCACACAUUGUUCAGUGCAUGCUGCAUAGGAUUUGUAAAAUACAUUGCAAAUGGAAUGUUUUUUGUAAAAUACAUUGCAAAUGAAAUGUUUUUUGUAUCAAUUUGAAGGUAUAUUUGUAAGCAAUAAAAAAGCCAUUUUUGUGCUCUACUUUUUCUGUUGAUGGUUCCCGGCUAUGAAAGUAGGUCAUACUAUUUGAGCCCAAAAUGGUCGCCUGCACAGCUGUCAAAACCGGUGUGCCUAUUCUAAGGUGAAUAUUUUGAGUUACAACGUAUAGAAUUUAAUGACAUCCAUUUGUUAAAAAGAUUAUGCAUUUAUCUUUCCAAUGAUGUAUGAUGAUAUAGUGGGUCAUUGCUUGAUCAUGGUAAAAAUUGAUAUCGAACUUGAACUAUUUUAUAUGUAAUAUAGAAGGAAAUUAAUUGCGCAUGCGUAACCUAAAACAGUCGGCAAAUUGACAUAUGAUUAUUUUGCUGUAGUUAUAAAGGACCAUGUGUUAUGCUUCAGGCUAUAUGCAGCUCGCAAUAGUUGGUAAUCCUCCAAGCUUAGUUCUAGGAAACGUGCUUGUAAUCCUACCAGAAUUCUAAUCAUCAAUUGAAGUGUUAUUUAAUUAAUUUUCGAUUAUAGCUUUUGUUUUCUUGUCACAGUUAACAAAAUAUUAGCACAUUUAUACAACACUAUCCGGUCGUGUUGUUUAGCUCUGUUUGUUUACCUGAAAAGAUUAAUUUUAACUUUUACCGCAUUUGUAACGAUACUCG
This is a long non-coding RNA of Dreissena polymorpha, 1864 nucleotides long. RefSeq lists it as uncharacterized. NCBI's taxonomy places the organism in Eukaryota, Metazoa, Mollusca, Bivalvia, Myida, Dreissenidae. The transcript has 3 exons. The record is from RefSeq and is a predicted model, not a curated record.